This 686-nucleotide ribosomal RNA is filed under the name Taiozyma onychis. RNAcentral's name for it is "eukaryotic LSU rRNA". It matches the Rfam family "Eukaryotic large subunit ribosomal RNA", at positions 1 to 667 of the family's 3401-position model. The record is from RNAcentral. Lineage: Eukaryota; Fungi; Ascomycota; Saccharomycetes; Phaffomycetales; Wickerhamomycetaceae.
AAAGGUUGACCUCAAAUCAGGUAGGACUACCCGCUGAACUUAAGCAUAUCAAUAAGCGGAGGAAAAGAAACCAACAGGGAUUGCCUCAGUAACGGCGAGUGAAGCGGCAAAAGCUCAAAUUUGAAAUCUGGUUGUGCCUGGCGCAGCCCGAGUUGUAAUUUGAAGAAGGCGACUCUGGAGGCGGCCCUUGCCUAUGUUCCUUGGAACAGGACGUCACAGAGGGUGAGAAUCCCGUGCGGCGAGGUGGCCCCGGCUCCGUGUAGAGCGCUUUCGAAGAGUCGAGUUGUUUGGGAAUGCAGCUCUAAGUGGGUGGUAAAUUCCAUCUAAAGCUAAAUAUUGGCGAGAGACCGAUAGCGAACAAGUACAGUGAUGGAAAGAUGAAAAGAACUUUGAAAAGAGAGUGAAAAAGUACGUGAAAUUGUUGAAAGGGAAGGGUAUUAGAUCAGACUUGGCGGUUGCUGGGGAUCCCCCCCUGCCCUUGUGGCGGGAGGGCUACUCCCUGCGCGCUGGGCCAGCAUCGAUUCGGACGGCGGGAGAAUGGCGUGGAGAAUGUGGCAGCGGCCCUUUGCGGGGCUGGUGUGCUUAUAGCUCCAGGCAGAUGCCGCCUGUGUGGAUCGAGGAGUGCGUCCUUAGGGACUAGGAUGCUGGCGUAAUGAUCUAACACCGCCCGUCUUGAAACACGGACC